Neomonachus schauinslandi (Hawaiian monk seal) is the source of this 254-nucleotide long non-coding RNA. RefSeq lists it as uncharacterized. The record is from RefSeq and is a predicted model, not a curated record. The transcript is spliced from 3 exons. NCBI's taxonomy places the organism in Eukaryota, Metazoa, Chordata, Mammalia, Carnivora, Phocidae.
AGAAUUCUCAAUCGUAACCCUCUGACAACUGUUGAAGAUUCGUAUCUUUUUAAAUUGCCGGCAUUAAAAUAUUUAGACAUGGGAACAACACAGGUGUCACUUCCAACAAUUGAGAGCAUCCUCAUGAUGACCCGUGAAUUGGAAAAACUGAUUUUACCUAGCCAGAUGGCCUGCUGUCUCUGCCAAUUCAAAAAUAAUAUUGAGGUUGUCUGCAAGACAGUCAAGCUGCAUUGUGACAGUGAAUGUCUGACAAA